UGAGGAAUAUUGGUCAAUGGGCGAGAGCCUGAACCAGCCAUGCCGCGUGCAGGAAGAAUGUCCUAUGGAUUGUAAACUGCUUUUAUUUGGGAAUAAACCUGCGAACGUGUUCGCAGCUGAAGGUACCAAAUGAAUAAGCACCGGCUAACUCCGUGCCAGCAGCCGCGGUAAUACGGAGGGUGCAAGCGUUAUCCGGAAUCAUUGGGUUUAAAGGGUCCGCAGGCGGUUAUAUAAGUCAGUGGUGAAAGCCUACAGCUCAACUGUGGAACUGCCAUUGAUACUGUAUGACUUGAAUUCGAUCGAAGUGGGCGGAAUGUGACAUGUAGCGGUGAAAUGCUUAGAUAUGUCACAGAACACCGAUAGCGAAGGCAGCUCACUAGGUCUGGAUUGACGCUCAGGG
RNAcentral lists this ribosomal RNA (400 nucleotides) under uncultured bacterium. Its description in RNAcentral is "bacterial SSU rRNA". It matches the Rfam family "Bacterial small subunit ribosomal RNA", at positions 355 to 752 of the family's 1533-position model. The record is from RNAcentral.